GCUGUCCCAGGGGAUGCCCAGGUGUGUUCACACAAUGCUUUCUGCUCUUUGGAGGGGUUCUUUCUAUGUCCCCCCUCCCUCAUUACGCUGAUGAAGGGAGUGGAGAACCUUCAUGCACCUAAAUGAUAUUCAGACUCAGAGGAGCAUCGUGAGUGUUAUGCUCAUGCGCCUUUUAAAAAUGUAGUCCUGCUGUUGUUUUUUCCUCAGGAUUUGUUAUCUAAAUGGGUAACGCUGUGCUUUUGUGACCUCUCUUUUCCUCCCCCGCUCCAUCGACUCUACAAGGGUAUCUCUCCAAUGUCAGUUUUGUCAGGACAUGAGCGCAACGUGUACAACUGAAACCACUCAGGAGUCUCAGUCCAGUCAAGACGUCUGUGUUUCGACUGUCUCGGAAGUCACCAUGAACGGCUUGAGGGUGUCCUUGUCUUUCAAAUCAUGCCUUGACCAUGAGUUUUGCCAGGCAGGCUUUUAUACUGCCAGUGUGGAAGAAGAUGGUCCCAUUCGGACCCAGAUCACCUGCUGCCAGGAGGACCAGUGUAACAGCGGGGCUCUUCAGUGUAAGCAUCCCUAGGCAAUGAUACAACCCAAUGAUACAAUAUCAUUCCCUGGGUCAUGUUUAAGGAGCAAAGGGACUACAGGAAGAAGACCUCAGUCAAGAAAAUAUUUUAAGUCUUGGAGGAAAUGAGGUCUUUAAUGUUCAGGGGGGAAAAUUGACUGAGAAAAUAUUUGUCCCAACCAGAUCUAACUGCAAUGACCGUUUUUUUCCCCACCAGUACCUGAUCCAAAAAAGCUGGUUUCCAAUGGGUUUUAAUGCCCCGGCUGCUUUUCCACCCAUUCGGAUCACUGUGACAGUAAAGGAAUGGACAGCUGCACACAGAAAGAAGACCACUGCUUCAACCUGGCUGGUUCCAUCAAAAGAAGCAUUUUGAAUGGAAGGAGUGCUUUCCAAGGUUGUACGACAGCCAAGGCAUGCAGCUUCAAAAAGGAAGCAGUAAAGGCAGCAAAUCAAGUUUUUGGAGUCUACAUUUCCCAGGUAGACUGCAAACCGGCAGAAAAAUUUACCCCCCCCCGCCCCGAGCAUCGUAGAAUGAAGAAAAUGAAGACAUCCAGAAUGAAGAACAUAGUCUAGUGCUUAAGACCAGACAGAUUUCGAUAAGAGGACUCGUUGCUCUUGGUGGCUGCAAUGAGCCACUAUGACUAGCAUUGCCAACUUUUUCAGCAGCCUCCACUCCUGUGUUUUCUCCAGUGGUCAUGCUGGCUGGGGAGGAUGUGAUUUGUUGUCAUAUGUGCCUGUAGGGGACCCAGGUAAAGGGAGCCAACUGCAGCAUCUCUGGACUUAAACUGUGAGCCCUUCCUGGAUCGUUCCACCUCCUCUGCAGAACAGGCAAGCAAGGAUAGAGAGCUUUGGAUUCUCUGCCACUUUAUUGUAGAAAAUCAGUGGAAGAGACUGAAAGGUCCUUCCUGCCAAGAAAACGAUGAAGGCUUGCCAUGGGUGUUGAUGGCACUUCGAAAUGUCAGCGAACUGCUUGGCCCCAAAAGCUUGGAAAGAGGAUCCCGUAGAAUAGAAGACAAAGCAGGAUCUCAGGAGAAGCCCCAGAAGCCCCUGGGGUCGAGGUGACAAGAAAUACACCUCUGCCAUUCCCAGUAAGAGUGGAACAAGAGGUCCAGGCUUCACACAAGCCUCUCAGUGCAGCCACAGAAAUGUUUGAAGCGUGCAAUCCUUUUCAACCCGGCUGGAUAGAUCUGUAGAUCUAUAAGGGUCCUAGCCAGGAUUCCAGAGAAGGGAGAGGCUAUAGAAGAAUCUUAGAACUGCAUAGCUGGAAGGGACUCUAUGGAUCAUCGGGUCCAGCCUCGGUCAACAAAUGCCAUCGGGAGGAUUUGAACUCACAACCUCUGAGGGCUCCACAGCCAGAGACCUCAACCACUGAACUCUCCACCCAUUACUUCUGUCAAUAAAGCAAUGCUUUGACAAUUUUCUCCUUCUCCA
Molecule: long non-coding RNA, 1984 nt
Organism: Pogona vitticeps (central bearded dragon)
Lineage: Eukaryota; Metazoa; Chordata; Lepidosauria; Squamata; Agamidae
Source: Ensembl